Molecule: long non-coding RNA, 642 nt
Filed under: Marmota monax (woodchuck)
Lineage: Eukaryota; Metazoa; Chordata; Mammalia; Rodentia; Sciuridae
Source: RNAcentral
UGGAAAGUUGGAGACUGUCCCGUGAGGGAGUGAAAUUUAUUUAGAGCCCAUCCUCCAUCCUAUCAAAGAUUUGAAAGGGACACAGAAGACAAGAGGGAUAUGAUGAACCCAGCCUAAUUCCAUUUUAAGAUUGGGAUCCACAAUCUUAAAUCCAGGUCAUGAAAUGUUGAUUUCUGUUUUACUAUAAAAUACUAAGAUUUCUAUUUGGCCUGACCACAUUUUGAUAUUUUAAACUUGCUUGGAACUCUUGCCCAUGCUUUGAACUUACCCAGGCCUGGCUCUCCCUGACCAGAUAACAACUCUCCCUGAAAUCUCAGCUGCUCCUCAUUAACUUUGGUUUUUGAUUCUGAGCUCACUCCCUACCUUGAGAUGUUAAAUCAUAUAGAUCAUUAACCUGCUAUCUGCUCUUACAUUAGUCUUGCCAGAACCCUGUCAGCUGUGAGCUCCCAAGACACCCACCUUUGUAACUUUUGUGUUAUAAAAACCUCCUUGAUCUUGGGCCAGAUGCUGUCUGUCCCUGCAUUUGUGUGGGGCAGUUUCUGAUCAGGUCUCUUGUGUACACAAUAUAAGCUUGCUGCAAUUUGGUUUAAAAAGAGAGAGAGAGUGUGUUUGUGAACAUAACCCCCCAGGCCAGCUCCACUU